UGGGGAAUUUUGGACAAUGGGCGAAAGCCUGAUCCAGCAAUGCCGCGUGUGUGAAGAAGGCCUUCGGGUUGUAAAGCACUUUUGUCCGGAAAGAAAUGGCUCUGGUUAAUACCUGGGGUCGAUGACGGUACCGGAAGAAUAAGGACCGGCUAACUACGUGCCAGCAGCCGCGGUAAUACGUAGGGUCCAAGCGUUAAUCGGAAUUACUGGGCGUAAAGCGUGCGCAGGCGGUAGUGCAAGACCGAUGUGAAAUCCCCGAGCUUAACUUGGGAAUUGCAUUGGUGACUGCACGGCUAGAGUGUGUCAGAGGGAAGUAGAAUUCCACGUGUAGCAGUGAAAUGCGUAGAGAUGUGGAGGAAUACCGAUGGCGAAGGCAGCCCCCUGGAAUAACACUGACGAUCAUGCACGAAAGCGUGGGGAGCAAACAGG
RNAcentral lists this ribosomal RNA (429 nucleotides) under Actinomycetes bacterium. RNAcentral's name for it is "Actinobacteria bacterium partial 16S ribosomal RNA". It matches the Rfam family "Bacterial small subunit ribosomal RNA", at positions 355 to 776 of the family's 1533-position model. Lineage: Bacteria; Bacillati; Actinomycetota; Actinomycetes. The record is from RNAcentral.